GUGGGAUUCUUAAAUUUUCCAUUUAUCGUCUAAAAGAAAUGCACUAGAAAAUAACUGUUCUCUUACCUAUUGUUGCCUGUUCUGAUAACCUGAUUGGUUCCAGUUGUAAUGCUGAGAAAAAGUAAAAACCAAGUAGACAGUUGUUUUUAUGUUAGAUUUUAUUUUCUAUGCCUCUACUGCUGAGAAGCACAAGUGUUACAAUUUUUGCAUAGAUUACAAAAAUGAAAUGAAUGACUACAAAUAUACAAAAUAUUCUUAUGAAAAAAUACAAAAUAUUAUUGUUGACUAAAUCUAUUUAUAGAUUAAUUACAUUGUCAACAUAGAAUGGACAAUUAACACUUUUUCAUAAUUGUAAAACUAAUACUGACUACAUAUUGUGUCUCUUUAUGUUGAGUUUUAUUGGUAUUCUUAAACAAGUAGGCCCAAGAGAAAUAAAGAAAAUUGAAAACAUGAAUGAAUUUUUAGAAUAAAUUGGUCCCUAUAUUUCACAACUUUGCAGGAUUUAGGCCUAAAGUUUUAUGAUGGCUGAAACUUGUACAAAAACUUUCCCCAAUUUUUUUUUCAGUCAGCCUGUUACAAAUAAAACACCCAUAAUAAUCAAAAGAUAAAUAUUCACAAAAUGUGAAAUGCUUAUUACUAUGUUUGAAUGGAAGAACUUUCAGCAGCAAAUAAAUUCAAUGAUAAACAUGAAAUAAAAUGAUCUGCCAAUGAAUUACUUUCUAUUUCAUUGGUUUUUUUUUAUAGGACAGAACUUUUCAAGUAAGGAGGUUAUUGUGAUGUUUAAAACUUUGAAAUGUAGUUUAAAUUUGCAUGAGUAAAUAACUGAUUUUAAUUGGUUGACAUAACAAAAUUCAAAAAGUAUUGAUAAAGUUUGUUGUCAUUUUAUGUAUGUGCACCUUGUAUGGUUGAAAUUUCUGAUCAGAUGAUGAGAGUUCAUUAGACUAAUAAAGUGUAAUCAAAAUCAAUCAAAUUUGAAGUGAAUUAUUUUUCAGUUGAGAUAUGAAGGUACAUUUUAAAUAGCAAUGGUCAAUUAAAGUUGAUACAGAUCUUCGUUCUUAACACAAUCUAGUAAAAAGUAAGAAGAUCUAAUUGUCUAACGAGAAAAAACAAUAUUAAUAUUUAGAAAUUUACGGCAUCAAUAACUUUCCCUCAUAAAUUGCAGUAUUCAUCCCUUAUAAAAAUGUUUUAUCUCUUAUUCUCAGAAAUUUUUACUUUUGUUAUUUGUGAUAUCAAUAAAAACCUAAAAUCCUUAUUUCCAUGUGCACAACCUUCGAGAAGAUAGUAACAUUCAAUAUAGACUAUAAAGUAAUAGUCAUUUAUUUCAAACAUUUAGAAGACAGGAGACAAAAAUCAACAAGUUCAGUAAUUCAUUAACAAAUUUGUCAAAAUGGAUUGAUUCUUGAGAAAAGAAAAACUGAUUUAAUACCACAUUCAAAACACAAAACAGCAAUUUCAUUAAACAUAUUUUUUUGCUAAAAUCAGAUCUUAUAACAAAUAUAAAACAUAACUUAUUUAUAAACAAUAUAUAAUAAUAUCAUGUAAACCUCGGUGGAUUCUACAGGGCAAAUAUUGAGUUUCUUUAAAGUAUAACGACUUGUACAAGAUCUAAUAAAUAUAAUAAAUAAAAAAUUCUGUACAUUGUAUACAAUGUAAUAAAUAAAUAGUCAUCUACAGUUAUAAACAGAUGCUGCCCUCUAAGAAUAUACAAACUAUAUGUUGUAAAAUAUAAAGCUGAGGAAUUAUUUGGAGUUAUUUCCCUUUACAGUUAAUAUUUACACAGUAUUUGAAGCAUCCAAGUUGCCUCAUCAAAAGCACUGAUAAGAUAGUAUCAUGGAAAUUAAUAAGAUAAACUGUAAGCUUCCCAUAGCAGAGUAGAGACAAAGUUUACUUUAAAAUUUUGGUACAGGUUUAAAAUUAACCAUUGAAAACUAUUUUCUUUUUUUUGAUAUCAAACCCUGGAAACUUUAAUAUAAUUUUGAAGUCCUAAAGAAACAACUUCAGAAAAAGAGUGGCUAAACAAUGGUAGACUAAAGCAUUUGAACAGUGGAAAAAUUAGACCAAAAUAUACUUUUUACUGUUCAUUCAAUCAAAAAUGCCCUAUGAUACAAAACUUGUUACACUUUCAACUGUAUUUUAUGGAGAGUUUACUUAAGAGGGUGUCCAUGGAAAAACCAGGCAAAAUGUGGCACAUGCAUGACAUGACAUAUUUUGUUUUCAAAUUUUUUUUCAUCUAUUUCAUAUCACAAAUUCAUUCUUUCUUAAAGUUAAAUUUUUUUUUUUUAUUAACUGCAACAAAUAAUGAGAAAAAAAAUACAGAGAAAGCACUGAAAAUUC
This 2334-nucleotide long non-coding RNA is filed under the name Mytilus galloprovincialis (Mediterranean mussel). The record is from RNAcentral. Lineage: Eukaryota; Metazoa; Mollusca; Bivalvia; Mytilida; Mytilidae.